Molecule: ribosomal RNA, 253 nt
Filed under: uncultured bacterium
Lineage: Bacteria
Description: partial 16S ribosomal RNA
Rfam family: Bacterial small subunit ribosomal RNA
Source: RNAcentral
UACGUAGGUGGCAAGCGUUGUCCGGAAUUACUGGGCGUAAAGAGUGUGUAGGCGGUGCUCCAAGUCUGGUGUGAAAUCUCCCGGCUUAACUGGGAGGGUGCAUUAGAAACUGGAAUGCUAGAGGAUGGGAGAGGUAAGCGGAAUUCCUGGUGUAGCGGUGAAAUGCGUAGAUAUCAGGAGGAACACCUGUGGUGUAGACAGCUUACUGGACCAUUUCUGACGCUGAGACACGAAAGCGUGGGUAGCAAACAGG